GACGAACGCUGGCGGCGUGCUUAACACAUGCAAGUCGAACGGAAAGGCCCUGCUUGCAGGGUGCUCGAGUGGCGAACGGGUGAGUAACACGUGGGUGAUCUGCCCCUUAUUUUGGGAUAAGCCUGGGAAACUGGGUCUAAUACUGGAUAGGACCAUGCUGUAGGUGGUGUGGUGGAAAGAUUAGUUUCGGUAAGGGAUGAGCUCGCGGCCUAUCAGCUUGUUGGUGGGGUAAUGGCCUACCAAGGCGUCGACGGGUAGCCGGCCUGAGAGGGUGGACGGCCACAUUGGGACUGAGAUACGGCCCAGACUCCUACGGGAGGCAGCAGUGGGGAAUAUUGCACAAUGGGCGCAAGCCUGAUGCAGCGACGCCGCGUGGGGGAUGACGGCCUUCGGGUUGUAAACUCCUUUCAGCCAUGACGAAGCCCUUGUGGUGACGGUAGUGGUAGAAGAAGCACCGGCUGACUACGUG
RNAcentral lists this ribosomal RNA (469 nucleotides) under uncultured bacterium. RNAcentral describes it as "partial 16S ribosomal RNA". It matches the Rfam family "Bacterial small subunit ribosomal RNA", at positions 28 to 507 of the family's 1533-position model. The record is from RNAcentral.